UUUAAACCCGACACGCUCGCGAUCGCCGUUCGAACGGCGAUUACGGACGUCCGGGCGGCGUCCCGCGGGCUGCGAGCCACCAGAUCGAUAAAUCGGGAACGCGAAUUCCGCCGAGCCGGGUCCCCGAGGAUCCCCAGGGCUUGGCGUCCCGUAAAUUUCCGCGAAAAUAACAGAAAGUUUACUCACUUUCAACCACGUCCGCCAUGUUGACAGUCAGUGAUGCAUCAUGGGUACGCGCUUCCCGACUCGACGUUCGCAGUCCGCCAUCUCGCGUGGUCGAAUCCGGUUGGUUCUGCCAUCGCGGAAGUCACGCGCCGCUUGUCGCGUUAUGAAUCUUUCUGGGCUGCGCGGAGUUUCGAGAUAAAGACAGAUUAAUUACAUCCGAGGAGAACGACGAAUAUUUGCUGGUUAGUGCCGAGAAUCUUACGACUGUCAUAUUAGCAUGUCGUUAUUGAAGCAACGAUCAAGAAGAAUCCCAACCAAAAAUUUGGUAUUAUCAAGAUCGAUAUCAAAAGGAACCG
Nylanderia fulva is the source of this 521-nucleotide non-coding RNA. NCBI's taxonomy places the organism in Eukaryota, Metazoa, Arthropoda, Insecta, Hymenoptera, Formicidae. The record is from RefSeq and is a predicted model, not a curated record.